UAUGAAUCAAGUUUUAUCUUUUUAACGGUGUUAAAAUUAAUAAUGUUAAGUUUAUUGUGAAUGUGAGUUAUGCAAGCAAUGUUGUUGUGACAUUUAGUUGGCCUAAAUUAAGUUCACGUGGUAGACAAAGUUUGGUUACGUGUAAAUUGAGAUUAUUAGGGUUUUUAAUUGGGGAAAUAAAAUAAUUACGAAAAUUAGGUCUUAUCUUAAUUGAGGAUUUUUUUAUCGAGGUUGCUUACUUGGUUCUGUGAGCAAAGGUGCAUUGUCAGUGAACGAGUGUGGUUGUCGAAGGAGGUUCGUGACCGGAAGACUUGGUGAACGAGUAGGGUUUGUCAACGGUUGCGGUGGGUGACUGAAUACGGUUCAUGAGCGUGGUAUUUUGAAGGUGCAAGGUGCACUUUUUAUCAAUUAUUUUAUGUGGUUUGGGUCCCUCGAUGGAAGUUUGUUGUCUUCUUGUCCCCCUUUAGUGUGUUCUGUUGUGGUCCCCCUAAUAGCGCUGGCUUUGUUGUGGUCCCCUUCUUUAUUGUGUUUCGCUUUGGUGGCAUAUUAUAGUUUGCUUGAUUUCCAUCCCUCAUUUGAAAAUUAAAUUGUUUAUUGUGUGGUUGUUGUUGGUACGUUGCAUAUAGUCGGUCUGUAUUAGUGAUUGAGUCAUAUUGUUCAUGCGUAUUGAUUUAAGAAUGAAGACAAAAUGGAAUGUUGUA
This 701-nucleotide long non-coding RNA is filed under the name Vigna radiata. RNAcentral describes it as "long non-coding RNA (VRAD_LNC006933)". The record is from RNAcentral. Lineage: Eukaryota; Viridiplantae; Streptophyta; Magnoliopsida; Fabales; Fabaceae.